Long non-coding RNA from Vidua chalybeata, 429 nucleotides. RefSeq lists it as uncharacterized. The record is from RefSeq and is a predicted model, not a curated record. The transcript has 3 exons. NCBI's taxonomy places the organism in Eukaryota, Metazoa, Chordata, Aves, Passeriformes, Viduidae.
UUACACCUGGUGCCCGGACUGGACGGGGAAGCGCCUGCACCGUCUGUGGAGCACAUCCAGUGCCAGCGCUACCCCAGGGGCCACGGCCUGCAGGGACAUCCCCUUCAAGAUGGACGAGGACCUCGUGCGGGAUCGGCUCCUCUCCUGGCAGCAGGUCUGCAGAGGCUGCCAGCACCUCAUGCCAUGGAAACGGCUCCGCUCGGCCUGCCAGGCUGGGAGGGCUGGAGGGCGGCGGGUGUUCAUUUGCUGUCAGAAAUAAAUCGUUCUAUUUUUUUGUCAUCGUCAUGAUCAGAGCAUUUCUUUCAUCCUUUUCCAAGCUUUUGGCCUCCCUUCCUCCAGGGCUUCAGCAGCUCGCUCAGCUCAGAGGAGCUCUCAGAGGAGAAAACGCUGCCUGGCGUGGGGCUGGCUGAUCCCUGUCUCAUCUUGAUU